UGGGGAAUAUUGCACAAUGGGCGAAAGCCUGAUGCAGCGACGCCGCGUGAGGGAUGACGGCCUUCGGGUUGUAAACCUCUUUCAGUAGGGACGAAGCGCAAGUGACGGUACCUGCAGAAGAAGCACCGGCUAACUACGUGCCAGCAGCCGCGGUAAUACGUAGGGUGCGAGCGUUGUCCGGAAUUACUGGGCGUAAAAAGCUCGUAGGCGGUUUGUCACGUCGUCUGUGAAAUCCUAGGGCUUAACCCUGGACGUGCAGGCGAUACGGGCUGACUUGAGUACUACAGGGGAGACUGGAAUUUCUGGUGUAGCGGUGGAAUGCACAGAUAUCAGGAAGAACACCGAUGGCGAAGGCAGGUCUCUGGGUAGUAACUGACGCUGAGGAGCGAAAGCAUGGGUAGCGAACAGGA
Molecule: ribosomal RNA, 410 nt
Filed under: bacterium
Lineage: Bacteria
Description: partial 16S ribosomal RNA
Rfam family: Bacterial small subunit ribosomal RNA
Source: RNAcentral